GAUUCCUUAGCUCAGUUGGCAGAGCAGUGGGCUUUUAACCCAACGGUCGUCGGUUCGAGCCCGACAGGAAUCAC
Molecule: transfer RNA, 74 nt
Filed under: Streptomyces phage BRock
Lineage: Duplodnaviria; Heunggongvirae; Uroviricota; Caudoviricetes
Description: tRNA-Lys
Rfam family: tRNA
About the family: Transfer RNA (tRNA) molecules are approximately 80 nucleotides in length. Their secondary structure includes four short double-helical elements and three loops (D, anti-codon, and T loops).
Source: RNAcentral